UGAGGAAUCUUGCGCAAUGGGCGAAAGCCUGACGCAGCGACGCCGCGUGAGGGAUGAAGGCCUUCGGGUUGUAAACCUCUGUCAGGGGGGAAGAAUCCGGAGUCGGUGAAUACCCGACUCCACUGACGGUACCCCCAGAGGAAGCACCGGCUAACUCCGUGCCAGCAGCCGCGGUAAGACGGAGGGUGCAAACGUUGUUCGGAAUCACUGGGCGUAAAGGGCGCGUAGGCGGACUCGUAAGUCGGGAGUGAAAACUCGGGGCUCAACCCCGAGCCUGCUUCUGAAACUGCGAGUCUUGAGGACCGGAGAGGAAAGUGGAAUUCCUAGUGUAGCGGUGGAAUGCGUAGAUAUUAGGAAGAACACCAGUGGCGAAGGCGACUUUCUGGACGGUUCCUGACGCUGAGGCGCGAAAGCUAGGGGAGCAAACAGGAUUAGAUACCCUGGUAGUCCUAGCCGUAAACGAUGAGUGCUAGGUGGUGGUAGUUUCAACACUUUCACCGCCGCAGCCAACGC
Molecule: ribosomal RNA, 513 nt
Filed under: uncultured bacterium
Lineage: Bacteria
Description: bacterial SSU rRNA
Rfam family: Bacterial small subunit ribosomal RNA
Source: RNAcentral